AGUAUUUGGGAGCAAAGCCCAAAAGUUCCCAUUCUUCCUCCUCUUCCUUUCUCCCAUGGCUUCAGAUUUGGGUUAGGGUUCCUCGAUCUGAGGAUUUUGUGCCGUGUAGAGUCCUUCAUCCGACGCGAUCGUCUUUUGGAUUGUUCUUUGGAGAUUUGGCUUGGGUGAUUACGGAGACAGAAUUGUUAUUUCAAUUUCAACUCUUAUCUACCACUGCCAGGUUGGGACUAAUGUUUGUCUCCUCUUUUAUCUUGAAGAAGUAAAAGGACUCUUGAGUUGAAUCAUUAUGAAGAUUGUUUUGAAUGCUAGAGUGUUCAACUUCGGUCAUUUUUGAGGUGUAACUUGGACCAUCGUUCAAGACAAAAGCAGUAUACCUAAUCUUCAGAUAUGCAAGUUCUGAUGCAAUUGGUAACUUCGAGUUACCUAGACUCCGUUCCUGACUCCCAAUCAGGUUCUGCCGAUGGAUCGUCGGUGGACAUUUUAAGGCCUGUCAUUAAUGUUUAUUAGACGGCAGUCGAAGAAGAUGGAGACUUGUGGUGGUUGCAGGGAGGAGGACAGGGCAUGCCAGCGAACCUAUGAGAGUGAAGGG
Musa acuminata subsp. malaccensis (wild Malaysian banana) is the source of this 589-nucleotide non-coding RNA. The record is from RefSeq and is a predicted model, not a curated record. Lineage: Eukaryota; Viridiplantae; Streptophyta; Magnoliopsida; Zingiberales; Musaceae.